RNAcentral lists this long non-coding RNA (320 nucleotides) under Brassica napus (rape). RNAcentral's name for it is "long non-coding RNA (BNAP_LNC012603)". Lineage: Eukaryota; Viridiplantae; Streptophyta; Magnoliopsida; Brassicales; Brassicaceae. The record is from RNAcentral.
UGUAGAUUAGAUAAUUUAGUUUUACUUUUCCCAUAAAAUAAAAUCUGAAAAGAUAAGAUUAUUUUUAUUUUGGAAUGUUAUAACAAAUAUUAUAAAUCGAGGGAUUUAAAUUGGUAAAAGUGAGUCCACAUGUAUACUUUGGUUUUAUUUUACCAACAAAGUAUUUUGGUUUUAGGUCUCAAUUUUAUGUUUUCUUUUGCUUUAAUCUCCGUUGCAGUAGGAAGGUCCGGAUCCCAAAACUAAUGGGAUCUUUAAUCCAACGAGAUGAGAUGUUCGAUGAAAAUAGAUAUCCUAAAAGAUUUGAACGCUUACAAAAAUCU